GUAGGUGAACCUGCGGAAGGAUCAUUAGUGAAUUUAGCAUAUUUUCGAAAGAAAAAUGUGACCCUACUCUAUACAUUGUGCAUUUAUUGACAGACUUUCAGUUGAAUUAGAUCUUGGUCACUCUCGAUUUAAUAAGACUAUUGUUUGUGGCUCACUUUUAAACACCAGUAUAAGUAUGUAAAAAAAUAAAAUAAGAAAAACUUUCAACAACGGAUCUCUUGGCUCUC
This 227-nucleotide unclassified non-coding RNA is filed under the name rhizosphere metagenome. RNAcentral describes it as "partial ribosomal RNA internal transcribed spacer region". The record is from RNAcentral.